Molecule: ribosomal RNA, 855 nt
Filed under: uncultured Ascomycota
Lineage: Eukaryota; Fungi; Ascomycota
Description: eukaryotic LSU rRNA
Rfam family: Eukaryotic large subunit ribosomal RNA
Source: RNAcentral
CUUUUGACCUCGGAUCAGGUAGGGAUACCCGCUGAACUUAAGCAUAUCAAUAAGCGGAGGAAAAGAAACCAACAGGGAUUGCCCUAGUAACGGCGAGUGAAGCGGCAACAGCUCAAAUUUGAAAUCUGGCUCUUUCAGAGUCCGAGUUGUAAUUUGCAGAGGGCGCUUUGGCGUUGGCAGCGGUCCAAGUUCUUUGGAACAGGACGUCACAGAGGGUGAGAAUCCCGUACGUGGUCGCUAGCCUUCGCCGUGUAAAGCCCCUUCGACGAGUCGAGUUGUUUGGGAAUGCAGCUCUAAAUGGGAGGUAAAUUUCUUCUAAAGCUAAAUACUGGCCAGAGACCGAUAGCGCACAAGUAGAGUGAUCGAAAGAUGAAAAGCACUUUGGAAAGAGAGUCAAAUAGCACGUGAAAUUGUUGAAAGGGAAGCGCUUGCAGCCAGACUUGCCUGUAGUUGCUUAUCCGGACUUUUGUCCGGUGCACUCUUCUGCGGGCAGGCCAGCAUCAGUUUGGGCGGUUGGAUAAAGGUCUCUGUCAUGUACCUCUCUUCGGGGAGGCCUUAUAGGGGAGACGACAUGCAACCAGCCUGGACUGAGGUCCGCGCAUCUGCUAGGAUGCUGGCGUAAUGGCUGUAAGCGGCCCGUCUUGAAACACGGACCAAGGAGUCUAACAUCUAUGCGAGUGUUUGGGUGUCAAGCCCAGACGCGUAAUGAAAGUGAACGGAGGUGGGAACCCUUUGGGUGCACCAUCGACCGAUCCUGAUGUCUUCGGAUGGAUUUGAGUAAGGGCAUGGCUGUUGGGACCCGAAAGAUGGUGAACUAUGCUUGAAUAGGGUGAAGCCAGAGGAAACUCUGGUGGA